RNAcentral lists this ribosomal RNA (90 nucleotides) under Spirochaetia bacterium. Lineage: Bacteria; Pseudomonadati; Spirochaetota; Spirochaetia. The record is from RNAcentral.
GUUAUACCCGUUCCCAUCCCGAACACGGAAGUCAAGCCCUCCUACGCCGAUGGUACUGCUGUAAAGCGGGAGAGUAGGUAGCUGCCGGAC